UAGUUUAAGGUGUUGAUUGUGUUGGGUGAAACAUGAAUGCAUGAUGAUUGACGAUGUGUUGUGCUAGUUAAGGAUGUUAUUUGUUGUGAUGGCGGAGAUGAUUGUUAGUAGAGAUAAAUUGUAGCGAUGGUACUGGUUGAAGUGGUGGUAGAGGUGGCGUUACUAGUGACAAUAGUGGUGGCAGCCAAAGAAUGUGUAGAGGUUAUGAUGUAUUAGUGGUAGUUAGUGGUGGUGCUAGUUGUGAU
RNAcentral lists this long non-coding RNA (245 nucleotides) under Capsicum annuum. Its description in RNAcentral is "long non-coding RNA (CANN_LNC017670)". The record is from RNAcentral. Lineage: Eukaryota; Viridiplantae; Streptophyta; Magnoliopsida; Solanales; Solanaceae.